UCUGAAUCUGCGAACGGCUCCGCAAACCAGUUGUAAACUAUAGCAAGCAAGCUAGGGAGUGGCCUUCACGGGCUGAGCCUGGGCGAUAAGGAUAACCCUGGUAAUUCUGAGGCUAAUACGUGAAUGUACAACUCGGUAGACCGGGCUUCGGCCUGGGAAGCUGGGGGACGUGCGUGUAAUGGCUUGGGUUUUGCCGGGAAAGGACGCACUUCCGGACCGCGUUAAAAAGGACUCGCUUGCUCCCUCGGGAGCGGGCUUGCCCCAGCGGCUCUUGCUGUGUGCUUCUGACCUAUCAACUAGACGGCAGCGUAAGGGACAUGCUAUGGU
Molecule: ribosomal RNA, 327 nt
Filed under: Lamproderma puncticulatum
Lineage: Eukaryota; Evosea; Eumycetozoa; Stemonitida; Stemonitidae
Description: bacterial SSU rRNA
Rfam family: Eukaryotic small subunit ribosomal RNA
Source: RNAcentral